CUCAAGACAACGUACUGUGGGAUUAAAAUUGGCCACAACUUUAUUAUGUUUCAGAUGUGGGUAGAACUUGGCUUGGGCAUUGGGCGUUUAUCCCUCCCAGUCCCCCGCCAGGGAUCUGGGGAACAUCAGGGUUAUCCAGAGUGGGGGGUGGGUGGGCUGGCUCUGGAGAACAUAUGUUCAAGCAGAGAGAGCCCACCCCCAUUAUGCCACCAUCGCAGGGGAGAGCAAUGACAACCUCCCGGCGUACGUCCAAAGCCUCCCCUCAAAACAACCCCUUUAGCAGGGAACCCUGGUAUCGCCGCCGCAAAGAGAAGGGGGGCAUGAGUCACCGCUACAUGCCCACCCCCAAUUUAGGGAAGAUAGACUUGGGUAUCAGCCCAAGGUCUGAUACCGCCAAAGUUGUGACGUUUUGUUACGGGAACGGCAAACCUGCCAAUUCCUUUCCAGAGAAUUCCAGGAGAAUUCCUUUCCGGCCCUUCAACAGCGAUCUUGACGUAGCAGCACCCAUGUACCUGUGGAGAAAAGGUUAACCUGCAAAAGAAAUCUUAACUGAGGGUGGGAGAAGCUCUGGAGCCAACUGACGAUUCCCAGGUAAGAUCCUCCCCCUAUUGUGUGGGCAAGGUGGUCCCUCCCCCUACCUGGCCUGAUCACCUUGGCAACACCUCCCCAGGCGGGACUGGCCGAUUGGCUAAGGUAGGCGGACACCUCCAGGUAUCCCACCUGGGGAAGGCGAAGCCAAGCCUGUGUUAAUGGUGCCGCAUAGGGUCCAGGGGGCUGCGCAUGACCACGCAGAGGGCGCCCCCCAUUUAAUGUGGGGAGCUGUCAUUGUGAGUGGCCUCUCUUCCAUCCUUCAAAGCAUCUGUCCAGGAACCUAUAGCCUCCCUGUAUAUUCUCACGUCCUGAAAACCUGUGAAGCUGCUAUUUGCAUUGCUAGUGGGCACUGGCAGUCACUCCCUCACUGGUAGCAUCACUUUCCUGUGAUCUCUGAUGCUCUUCUGGCAUCAGUAAUCUCAGAUGUUUCUGCACUUCAGAUACCUGUCCUGCAUUAAAGUGCUCAUUUCUACAGCUGCCACAAGAUGUCAUACAGAUGGCCUCUGGAUGAGACAAUUUUAAGGGGGCGUUAUACAAAUUCCUGGAAGGGGCAUGUGUCUUGUCAAUGGCUAUUAGCUUUGGAGGAGCAAUUUUCAUUUGCAGCGCAGAAAAAGAAGAAGGAAGAAUUAAACUCUCCCUCUCCACCUGCUGCGUUCCUAAUAAUUAUCAAAUCCAGUGACUGCUAUUUGCAUUUUUUGAAAUGAGCACAUUAAAUGCAAGGGCAUGUUUAAUGCCACAUCUAUAUUGGCCCUUAAUCUAUGCUAAUAUUUAAUUUGGGAGGCUCAAGGAUCCUGUUGUGGAAAUGAAUCAUGCAUACUCACUGAGUGGUGGGGGAGAGAGAGAAUCGCAAAGAGCUUUUACCUGGUAAACACAUUUGCUUUGUUUAGCCUUUUAUCAAGAGGAAGAAAACUGCAAAGCAAGUUUCCUUUUUUAAAAAAAGCAGGGAACAGCUUGUUUCCAUGACAUUUGUACAAUAAGCUAUAUCUAAAUGACAAGCAGAUUGGUGGAAAAACAAUGUUUUACUGCCCUUUUCUCCUUUGAUCCUUGAUGUCUUAAGUAAAUGAAAAGGCACAGGUUUAUAGGCAAAGAUCACCCGUUAUGAAUUGACAAGCUGCACAGAAUCCUGAAAGUAUGAGAAUCAAAGUUGUGUAUCGCUGUCCAGAGUAACAUUAGAUCUGGACCUUCAAAGGUAAGGAAUGGCUGGGGAAGUAGCCAGUUGGUAUGGGCAGAGUUUUCUCAUUUCUGACUCUGUUACACUUGCCUCACACAGGGGUCCUGCAUAGGAGUCUUGGCCUGCAGUCAGAGAAAGUAGAACACCCCCCAACAUGUGGAAAUAAACAAGACGAUCCACAGUGGGAAAGGUCAGAGAGGAAGGAGACACUGCCGAUACCUGACCUAACCCAAAGACUUCCUUUUGAGAACUCUUCCUCAGAAAUCCGUGAUUAAACAUCCCCUUGGAACAUCAGCUCCCCAAAGGAGCUGCAAGAACAACAUAGCCAUACAGGUAAGCAAGAAGGGCUCAUCAUGCUUCCAAGCAUGACUUCUAAGCAUCCCCUCUUCUUCCCCCAAACAAGGGAUACAGUGCUGGCCAACACCAGCACCGAUGCAGCUUACCUGGCUAUGGCUGGGGCAGCAUGCACAGUGGCAGUGAGGUUUGGGUUGUGUAGGCACACCAGCAUGAGCAUCAGAUUGGCUCCACCUGUGAACCCACACAACCCCACACAAUCUCGCAGCUGCCCUUACCCACUCUAGCCCAUCCAGGUGAUCUGUCAUGACACCAGUGCCAGGAAGGCAGCUCUGCAACCCUGCCCCGCCAUGUUGGCUGAAACUGCCCUAGAGCAAGCACAAGCAAACUCGGGCCCCCCCAGAUGUUUUGGGACUACAACUCCCAUCAUCCCUGACCACUGGUCCUGUUAGCUAAGGAUGAUGGGAGUUGUAGUCCCGAAACACCUGGAGGGCCGAGUUUGCCUAUGCCUGCCCUAGAGUGUUUCUCCUUCCACUUAAAUGUGUUGAAAUUAUACGGACUAAACAACUCUCCCUUACGCAACAAUCAGCAGCAGUGCUUCCUGAAAAAGGGGCUGCCACCACAACUCCGUGAGCUUCUGCCAUGGAAUGGGAAAGGCAGCGAGAAGCACCCCUGUGAAUGAACCCAAAAUGCUAAAAAUUCCACUGGGGAAAAUGGUUAUGUCCCUGUGGAGAUGGCAGUAUAUAGUCAGUAGCUCAUGUGCUUCUGGCUUGCACUCUUUAUGAAGAUUUGAGGAGUGAAGUUAUUACCCCUCUAUUAUUGUCCAUGUCGGGUCGCUCCACCAUUGCUACUGUGCCCUUUCUUUUAGCAGAUCAAGAUGAUCAGGUGACAGCAAAAACUGCAAGGUUUUUAGCGGGGGCAAUUAGAAUAAGAUCUAUUAUUUGUUUAUUGAUGUAAAGCCCCAAAAUGUAUUUUCUCUGGUUAAGUUUUUACCUCUACCUUCAGUACAUUUAUUUUAUUUUAUUUUAUUGCUAUGGCUGGUGGCUGGUGCAAAUAAAGAUUCUUCUCCUGCAAAAUUUUUAGCGGGGGCAAUUCGAAUAAGAUCCGUUGUUUGAUUACUGAUGUAAACCUCCAAAAUGUAUUUUGCAUAGUUAAGUUUUUACCUCUUUCUUCCGUACAUUUUAUUUCAUUUUAUUUCUAUGGCUAGUGGCUGAUGCAAAUAAAGAUUCUUCUUCUUCUGAACACAAAAUGCUGUAUUCCAGCUAUUCCUACAACUAGGUGAGUGCACGGCCAAUGGAAGAGUAGUGAGUUUGACUGAGGCAAUAGAAAAGCAGCUGUGUGAGGACAUCCUUUCUCAGUUAUGCAUUUUCAACAAACCCCUGGUUUCAGCUCCUACCCCAUUAUAUCUAAACUUACCAGGCCUUUCUCAUCUCUCCACAGGAAAUGAUGUUCCCUCAGCAGUGCCAGGAAGACCACAAGUGAUGCAGCGGAAGUGGUGGUUGGCAAGAAGUCAGAUGUUCAGAUGUGGGGCUGCUGCUGUUUUCUUCCCAGGGGUCAUGUGCCCUUCAAGAAAUGCAUGGCAAACAGUUACAUUCAUGCACAUCACAGGGAAAGAUGGCACCCUCCUAUCCUGUUACACAGCUUCAAAAGGCACAGUAACUCUGCAAGAAGAAAAAAGAUUGACAUCCAGGACUCGCUCCAUAACUGAUCAUUCAAUAAUAAUAAAAAACAACCCCCGUGUUUCAGCUGUGUCUCUUAUUCUAGUGGUUAGCAGAUUGAAAUCCUUCCCCCUGACUGCUCAUCUGAGAGGACUCACAGUGGCAGCGUUGCAUGGAUGAGGAGGUUCUUCAUUGUCACACCAUACAAGGUCUGAGGGAGUGCAUCUGUGGAGCACCAAUAUUCUCCUGAAUGCCCCCAUACUGCUAGUGAUAAAGCCGAAAUCUGCAUGAAGUGUGCAGGGUGGGGAGCAGUAAAUAACAAGGUCUGUUGAGUAACUAGCAGGCCCAGGAAAUCAACCUGAUGAAAAUGUGGGGAGCAUAACUUGGAGGGGUGAAGGAGGUUGGUCAAUAUCAAAGGUAUCCUGGGGUACUGCGAUGGGGUUAAACAAGCCAUUCCCAACGUGGUGUCCUCCAGCAUGGCCAAUGUUCUGGGGUGAUGGGAAUCAAAGUCCAACUGUAAGACAGCAGGUUGGGGAAUCCUGGAUUAGAUUAGACCAUGACCUCUGGCCAAGAGUAUUGUUAGCCCAGAAAUGGAAACAACAAGAGAUUCCGACGAAAGAAGAAUGCAGUCGAAAUUAAUGUAAUAUGCAGAAUUGGACAAAAUGACAGGAAGGAUUCGAAACCUGCGGGACCAGAGAGUUACAGAAGAUUGGAAGAAGUAUAUGAAUUAUUUGAAGAGCAACU
Non-coding RNA from Podarcis lilfordi (Lilford's wall lizard), 4458 nucleotides. Lineage: Eukaryota; Metazoa; Chordata; Lepidosauria; Squamata; Lacertidae. The record is from the annotation of a GenBank genome assembly.